Molecule: ribosomal RNA, 253 nt
Filed under: uncultured bacterium
Lineage: Bacteria
Description: partial 16S ribosomal RNA
Rfam family: Bacterial small subunit ribosomal RNA
Source: RNAcentral
GACGAAGGAUGCAAGCGUUAUCCGGAUUCAUUGGGUUUAAAGGGAGCGUAGGUGGCCUUAUAAGCCAGUGGUGAAAUCUUCGAGCUUAACUCGGAAAUUGCCAUUGAUACUGUAGGGCUUGAGUAUAGUUGCCGUUGGCGGAAUAUGACAUGUAGUGGUGAAAUACAUAGAGAUGUCAUAGAACACCGAUUGCGAAGGCAGCUGACGAAACUAUAACUGACACUGAGGCUCGAAAGUGCGGGGAUCAAACAGG